This 463-nucleotide ribosomal RNA is filed under the name uncultured Chloroflexota bacterium. RNAcentral describes it as "bacterial SSU rRNA". It matches the Rfam family "Bacterial small subunit ribosomal RNA", at positions 229 to 729 of the family's 1533-position model. The record is from RNAcentral. Lineage: Bacteria; Bacillati; Chloroflexota.
GCCUGCGGCCGAUUAGCUAGUUGGUGGGGUAGAGGCUUACCAAGGCGAUGAUCGGUAGCUGGUCUGAAGGACGGCCAGCCACACGGGACUGAGACACGGCCCCGACUCCUACGGGAGGCAGCAGCAAGGAAUUUUCCGCAAUGGGCGAAAGCCUGACGGAGCAACGCCGCGUGGGGGAGGACGCUUUUCGGAGUGUAAACCUCUUUUCUUGGGGACGGUACCCGAGGAAUAAGGACCGCUAACUACGUGCCAGCAGCCGCGGUAAUACGUAGUCCGAGCGUUGUCCGGAGUUACUGGGCGUAAGCGCGCGCAGCGGCUUCAUAAGUCUGGCGUGAAGCCCCCGGCUCAACCGGGGAGGUCGUCGGAGACUGUGGGCUUGAGGGCGGUAGGGGCGGUGGAAUCCCGGUGUAGUGUGAAAUGCGUAGAGAUCGGAAGGAACACCAGUGGAUCACAGUGAAUUCGC